Molecule: non-coding RNA, 72 nt
Organism: Microcebus murinus (gray mouse lemur)
Lineage: Eukaryota; Metazoa; Chordata; Mammalia; Primates; Cheirogaleidae
Source: the annotation of a RefSeq genome assembly
GGGGGUGUAGCUCAGUGGUAGAGUGUAUGCUUUGCAUGCAUAAGGUCCUGGGUUUGAGGCCCAGCACCUCCA